RNAcentral lists this ribosomal RNA (430 nucleotides) under Pseudomonadota bacterium. RNAcentral describes it as "Proteobacteria bacterium partial 16S ribosomal RNA". It matches the Rfam family "Bacterial small subunit ribosomal RNA", at positions 355 to 776 of the family's 1533-position model. Lineage: Bacteria; Pseudomonadati; Pseudomonadota. The record is from RNAcentral.
UGGGGAAUAUUGGACAAUGGGGGGAACCCUGAUCCAGCCAUGCCGCGUGUGUGAAGAAGGCCUUAUGGUUGUAAAGCACUUUAAGCGAGGAGGAGGGUACUGGUAUUAAUACUACCAGGUACUGGACGUUACUCGCAGAAUAAGCAUCGGCUAACUCUGUGCCAGCAGCCGCGGUAAUACAGUGGGUGCGAGCGUUAAUCGGAUUUACUGGGCGUAAAGCGUGCGUAGGCGGCUAAUUGAGUCGGAUGUGAAAUCCCCGAGCUUAACUUGGGAAUUGCAUUCGAUACUGGUUAGCUAGAGUGUGGGAGAGGAUGGUAGAAUUCCAGGUGUAGCGGUGAAAUGCGUAGAGAUCUGGAGGAAUACCGAUGGCGAAGGCAGCCAUCUGGCCUAACACUGACGCUGAGGUACGAAAGCAUGGGGAGCAAACAGG